UACGUAGGGUGCGAGCGUUGUCCGGAAUGAUUGGGCGUAAAGGGCGCGUAGGCGGCUGAUUAAGUCUGGAGUGGAAGUCCUAUUUUCAAGGUAGGAAUUGCUUUGGAAACUGAUCAGCUUGAGUGCAGGAGAGGUUAUCGGAAUUCCCGGUGUAGCGGUGAAAUGCGUAGAGAUCGGGAGGAACACCAGUGGCGAAGGCGGGUAACUGGACUGCAACUGACGCUGAGGCGCGAAAGUGUGGGGAGCAAACAGGAUUAGAUACCCUGGUA
RNAcentral lists this ribosomal RNA (269 nucleotides) under uncultured prokaryote. RNAcentral describes it as "partial 16S ribosomal RNA". It matches the Rfam family "Bacterial small subunit ribosomal RNA", at positions 524 to 792 of the family's 1533-position model. The record is from RNAcentral.